RNAcentral lists this long non-coding RNA (379 nucleotides) under Olea europaea (common olive). RNAcentral's name for it is "long non-coding RNA (OEUR_LNC004137)". Lineage: Eukaryota; Viridiplantae; Streptophyta; Magnoliopsida; Lamiales; Oleaceae. The record is from RNAcentral.
UAAGUCGAUCGAUUUGAGUAAAGCCAGUGAUAGAAUGGAAUGGGGAAAUGAUACAGAAAAUGUUUCUUCAAGUGAUUGAAGUAAAUCUAUUUGGACUCUACAGUCAUCACUUGCAGCAGCGAGAACAGAGAAUUUUUAAUAUCCUCCAGAACGAAACUGAAAAAGGUAUGCAUUUUUGUACUCCGUUCUGUAUAUUCUCUAAUAUUAUGUACAUGUAAUAUUGAAUGGUUUGGUUUUUGCGAUCAGUUACCAAUUCUGUGGAUUACAUUGCUUUUCUUUUCAGGGUGGGUUGAACAAGUUCCAUGGUCAACAUGCUUUGAGUGAGAGAGUGCAAGAAAUAUAGAUCUGGGCACCUUGAUUAUAAGGUAAUGAACUAAAG